Molecule: ribosomal RNA, 253 nt
Filed under: uncultured bacterium
Lineage: Bacteria
Description: partial 16S ribosomal RNA
Rfam family: Bacterial small subunit ribosomal RNA
Source: RNAcentral
UACGGAGGGGGCUAGCGUUGUUCGGAAUUACUGGGCGUAAAGCGCACGUAGGCGGCUUUGUAAGUUAGAGGUGAAAGCCCGGGGCUCAACUCCGGAAUUGCCUUUAAGACUGCAUCGCUCGAAUCAUGGAGAGGUGAGUGGAAUUCCGAGUGUAGAGGUGAAAUUCGUAGAUAUUCGGAAGAACACCAGUGGCGAAGGCGACUCACUGGACAUGUAUUGACGCUGAGGUACGAAAGCGUGGGGAGCAAACAGG